RNAcentral lists this long non-coding RNA (259 nucleotides) under Elaeis guineensis (African oil palm). Its description in RNAcentral is "long non-coding RNA (EGUI_LNC002189)". Lineage: Eukaryota; Viridiplantae; Streptophyta; Magnoliopsida; Arecales; Arecaceae. The record is from RNAcentral.
GUCCCCACUUCAGCCUACCUGUCACCCAUGUGACUCCCGGGUAAUGCACCACUUCUAAACUGUCACGGGACUACUGCUUUUAGCAAAAAUGGGUGGUACUAAGCAACACUUAGGGAGUGCUUAGUCGGAGGAAUUGGGGUCUGGAAUAGCAAUCAAAAUGGGUGGCACCUAUUCCAAUCACUUAGUUGGAGGGAGUUUGAUUUCGAUUUCGAUUUCAGAGUGGAACGAAAAUGGUCCAAUCUAUCUAAAACUCAAUUCC